GGAAGGGAGAGGGAAUUCUAGGUGGCAGAAAGGGUGGAAAAUGCUAAGGCAGAGGCUCCGAGCUCUGGGGUGGAAGAACAAAGCAGUGGUGGUGUGGAAUGGAGGCAGCUCGCUGCAUGUCCAGCUGGGGAGCAGCCUCCCUGCCCCUGUAGCUGCCUCCCUGCUUGCUCUGAAUGGAGCCUCUGGGCUCAGCAGGACCUGGUAGGAACUGAGUCCCUCUCAACUCAGGCACAUGAAGAAAAUUCUCCUGCCCUCUAGGCUCCACGGUGUGACCCCAAAGCAGUGUGUGUGGAGCAGACAAGAACUUUCUGAUGGUCAGGGGACAUUCAUCACUGUAAAUCGAAGACUAAGAGAGGUGGCAGAGCUUAUAUCCUCAUACCAGAGAUGCAGUAGACCCUUGAACAACACAGGUUUGAACUGGCUGGGUCCACUCACGUGCGGAUUUUCUUUUGCCUCUGCCACUCCUGAGACAGCAAGACCAAACCUCCUCCUCAGCCUACUCAACAUGAAGGCGAUGAGGAUGAAGGCCUUUACAAUGAUCACUUCCACUGAAUGAAUAGAACUCCUGGAAAGAAGAGAAGAGGAGGUAAUCAAUGGCGCUGAAGUCCUCACUACUCUUGUUCAGGCGGAACUGGAGGAAGACCAGCUCCCGCUUUUUCACUUCCCGGGGCCCCUGGACAAUCAGGGCAGAUUUCUGCAGAGAGAAAAAGGACAGAGUCUCAGUCCUGGGAGAGUACACAGAGGCCUCUGGGUCUGAGGGCAGAAGUACUGACUGGAAAGCCCAUAGCUCCUUGCCCAGUGGUCUCCAAAGGGACCACUAGCCAACAACAGGACUGGGCUGGGACUCAUGCUCAUUCCUGGGGAGUUUUCCCCAUAUGAUGCCCAACCAGAGCUGAAUGCAGCUCAUCCUCUGUCCACUUUUCUCAUUGGUUCUUUGAGUUAUGGAAGCUCUUAAUUUAGCAAGGAUGAUCACUUUCAUCUGUUAUGUGUGCCAAUCUUUUCUUCCAGUCUGUCAUUUUUCUUUUAACUUUGUUUCCAAUGUCAUUUGUCCUAUGGAAACUUUAAAUUUAACGUAGUAAAACCUUAAAUCCUUUUCUUUACGGCUUUGGGUUUUGCUUGCUGAGGAAAGCCAAAAUUAUAUCAAUAUUCUCCUCUAUUUCUUUAUAGCACUUUUUAAUCUUUUUUACAUUUAGAUACUUUAUAUACCUGGCUUUAAGCUCUGUAUAUAGUGUGAAAUAGGGCUCUAACUCCUACUUCCCAAACAAUGCAUAGAGACAGGUUUUGAAGCCUCUUCCCCUCCCUCCUUUAUCCUAUACUAAAUUCCAUGCAGAACCAAUAUCUAUGUCUGCUUCUGGCCCUAGCAGAGCCCACACAUUUGUCUGUCUCUGUCCAGUACUGUGCCACUUUGAUUCCUGUGGUUUUUCCACUGUUCUGAGAUCUGGGAAGGUGCUCUCCCUACUACUCUUCCCCAUCCCCAAACUUGUCUUGGUUAUUUUUGAACGUGUUCUAAGUAUGCUUUAAGACUAGCUUGCUUAGUUCCACAAAAAAAUUCACUGGGACUUUUAACUGUGAUAGAAACUGAAUUUAUAGAUUAAUUUUAGAAAAAAAUGUCUUUUACAUCAACUUUUAUAAAUAAAUGCUCUACAGAGAUUUGAAAAAGAGUGAGUACACUGUCAGUUACAAAGUUUUGUGCCCCCACAUGUAUACACACACAUACAUACUCUAAAUUUAUUAACUGCACUAUUCAAUUCUUAUCCUUUCUAGUUUUUGUCUAUUUGAUCUGUGAAUUUCUGAGAGGGGUGUUUAAAUCGUGCUCUAAAGUGAUGGUAUUUUUUACUUCUAACGGG
RNAcentral lists this long non-coding RNA (1847 nucleotides) under Homo sapiens (human). RNAcentral describes it as "HSALNT0021411". The record is from RNAcentral. Lineage: Eukaryota; Metazoa; Chordata; Mammalia; Primates; Hominidae.